RNAcentral lists this ribosomal RNA (254 nucleotides) under uncultured bacterium. Its description in RNAcentral is "partial 16S ribosomal RNA". It matches the Rfam family "Bacterial small subunit ribosomal RNA", at positions 524 to 776 of the family's 1533-position model. The record is from RNAcentral.
UACGGGGGGGGGCAAGCGUUGUUCGGAAUUACUGGGCGUAAAGGGCUCGUAGCGGCCAACUAAGUCAGACGUGAAAUCCCCCAGGCUCAACCUGGGAACUGCGUCUGAUACUGGAUGGCUUGAAUCCGGGAGAGGGGUGCAGAAUUCCAGGUGUAGCGGUGAAAUGCGUAGAUAUCUGGAGGAAUACCGGGUGGCGAAGGCGCAUCCUGGACCGGCAUUGACGCUGAGGAGCGAAAGCCAGGGGAGCAAACAGG